Molecule: long non-coding RNA, 598 nt
Organism: Sinocyclocheilus rhinocerous
Lineage: Eukaryota; Metazoa; Chordata; Actinopteri; Cypriniformes; Cyprinidae
Exons: 4
Source: RefSeq, a predicted model, not a curated record
GAAAUUUUACAUUUCUGAAGGGAAUUAAAGCACGUUGUAAUAUUGGGCUGCUGUCUUUAUUUGAGCACUAUAAUAUAUGUAAGGUUGGAUCUCACCUGAAAACUCCCAAGUUUCCAAUUUGGGUAGUGUGCAGUGAGAGUCAUUUCAGUGUGUUUUUUUGCCCCUCUGAAGACCUGGCAACCGAUCACUGCAAAGAGGAAGAGUUUGACUUGUACUAUUAUGAUGGCCUGGCCAACCAGCAGGAACCAAUUAGAUUAACAGUCUAUCCACAUUCUGCUGCGGGUGCUGCUCGGAAUGACAACGCAGACAGUGAUCUCAUUUCUCCACUGGAGCUUUGCAUCAGGACGAAAUGGAGAAAUGCAGUGGUCAGCUGGAAUAAUACAGAUCCCAUUCUUUGAUAAUGCACGUAAAGGAGAUUUUUAUUUGACCCCGUAUGAUUUUAUCUGGUCUUAAACAAAUUUCAAGUAGGUUUUAUAUUUAUAUAGGUUUAGUAUUUAUUUUGUCUUUUAUGAUGGCUGCCAUUCUCAAUAUUUAUAGUAUUUUCAUCAGUCUGCUGCCCCUCUUGCUUGUUUUAUACUUUAUAUUUAUGUCUCUCAUA